This is a long non-coding RNA of Cairina moschata (Muscovy duck), 4514 nucleotides long. The record is from Ensembl. NCBI's taxonomy places the organism in Eukaryota, Metazoa, Chordata, Aves, Anseriformes, Anatidae.
AGAAAAGAACAAGAUAACAAUGCUUUGCAGUAUUCCAGAAAGAAAGGGAUAUUUGUCAAAAUCUAAGCUUGUAUCAUGGCAGUAAUGCACAGGAUCUAUGGUUCUGUGUUUUCCCCACCCUCUGCAGGCAGAAUUAAUAACUCUAGCAAUAGUGUUGGUGAUUAGAUGGUGCACCAAAUAAAUAUGUGUGCCCAUUCAUAGCUGAAGAGUGCUUACCCCCUGCAUGUUCACACAGCUAUCAGCAGAGCCCAAUAGAAGCUGAGAAAAAAAAUGCAAAAGAAAAAGUAAAAUGGAACAGUGACUGACAGUAUGUUUAUUCUGGUCUGUGACAUCUUAGCUAAUACUGUUAGGAUGUGUUGUAUUUGAGGGAUUCGUUUGGUGUAGCUCACAAAAAAUCUGGGAAGCAGGGCUGUUUUGCACAAGCCCCCAAACCAUUCGGUGCCUGCCCUGCGAACGCUGGCUGUGUGAGCAGCCGGUCCUGCUGUACUGUUUGCUGACGUUGUUCCCUCUCCUCAGGAAACCUUGGGAGCCGUUCUGCCUUGGGCGGUCUCCUGAAGAUGUGUGAUGGUCUUGGACUGUGCAUCAGUGACCAGCAGUUCGUGUUGCCUCAGACCCAUGCUGUGCAGGGGCUGGUGCCUGCACCGGGAGCAGCACAGGGACACUGGGGGCAAAGCGCCACACCCCUGGGUUCCCCGAAAUGCAAGGAACAGGAGGCUUCUCCCAGCAGCACAGGAGAACUGAGAUGAAUGAAACCUCAUUCAAAAGGCAAUGAGUUUUGGCCAUGUCAGUUAAACCCACCUAAAAGAAGGAGAAAGAAAGAGAGAAAUGACUGUUCAGUGAACCUUAGGAGAGUUAUGAAGUUAUACAACCUCAGAAGGAUUUUAGGCAGUUUUAUACUGCCUGGCUCAGCUCAUAUUUAUAUCAUCUGUCUCAGUGCCUGGAAUGAACUAAGCUAUGUGCUUGAUAGAGAAAAGUACCUGUACUGACUGAUGUAUCUAAGAAAUCCACUUUGGACAUGGCUGGAUGAACCAGAAAAGAGGAUGAUAGCUGCACAAACCUUGCAAUGAUAUAUUUCAAGUAAGCAAGAACUAGAUAAUACUUUAAUAAAUAAAUAAAUAAAUAAAUAAAAGUACAUGAAGGAAAACAAAGAAUCACUAAAGAAGUAAGACUUUUUUUAAAAGUUAAACACUUCCUUGUAAACUUAGUUAUGUCUAAAUUACUGCUUGGACUUGGAGGAGGAAAACCUUCAGCAAUCUGGAGAGUUGUGCUGCAAAUAUAACUGAUAUUCCAGAUUAAACCAUAAGCAUAUUAGUGUAAUUUUCUGGAUUUUGAAUAUGUGAGAUACUCAAAAAGUCUUCCAAGAACCUGGUGAUACUCUGCAGUGUAAUAUUCUGCCAGUGAAGAUAAAUCUACAGUUUCACCUGGUAAGAUUUUUCAUCUUGUUUUGAACAGCAUAAUUUACCAUACUCAGCUUGCUGUAUUGCAUUCAUAUAUGUACAGAAGAAAAAAAUCACAUCUUUACUGGAAUGAGGCACACUUUGCCUCUCUUCACAGAGAGUCUCUCAAUUCUUCCUUGCAGUUGAGAGAUAACAAUUUGGGAUGGUGUACCAGGGACCCAUAUUCAGGCUAGAUGCUAGUCCAUGUUUGAUCCAUUAUCAGAAGACUGGAUGCGUUUUCUCCCAGGCCAAUUAUAUAAGAUGCAUCUUUUCUGCAAGCAAGGAUAACCCAUGCUCACUCUGUGUGUAAUAAGUGGUGCUGGAGUAAAGUGCAUUUGAUGUUAAAAUUCUGGGACUGAAGUGGUUCCCAGUAGAGCCCAAAGUGUGCACAAGGAUGGCUGAGAAGAAAAUGUCUUUUCUUUGCAAAGAUAUUAUGCAUGGAUCACUGUAUAGUUAUUGUGUUAUUGAAUUAGCAAGGUGCUUUUAUAGUUAAAUCAUUAUCACUGACUGUCCUAAUCCUUAAAUUUUUUAAAAUAUAAUAAGUUUUAUUACUUCAUUGUCAUUUAUUUCAGCUUAUCUUGUUAUUCUACUGAAAAACUGUGGAGAAAGCACAAGUAUUUUCAAAUGUUUUUAAGAAUUUUGCCUCUUUAAAUAUAAAUUCAGAUGAAGUUACAAGCACGUCCUUAAGAAUAUAAAAAGUUUUAAGAAGUUGCUGAUGGAUUUAUGCUUAUGGAGCUGAAAACAUUUAAAUCUUUUAUGGAAAAUGUUUUAAACUGAUUUAGCUGUGGGAAAAAUUGUGCCACAAGUUUCCUCAGUGUAAAUUUGGAGUAGCUUUAUCAGCAGACUGCUGAAUUAAAACAAAUUGGAACAGAAAGUUUGGGUUUGUGCCUCGGUUUGGUUCACAUUGGACAGGUUGUGAAUCUAGUAGCUUUGGCAGAACCCUUUUACAGAAGCAAAAUAAGCAAAUGUUAUGGAGUCACUUGUUUGGCUAAUUAAUUACUGUAUUUCAUAAAUCUUCAAGGAUCAAUUGUCUUCAUAUAAUUAAAUAAAUCAUUUUAAUUUGCCUAUGUCUAUGAAUUCCUGGAAAUUAUUUUCCCGCUCCACAAUAGCAGACUGUGCUUGCACAAAAUCUUCCUGCAGAAACGUAUCUGCAAGGGCAGAGUACAGCACAUUUAUAUCUUGUAGGUGUGGCUUCACCCAUGCAGUGACAUUUCAUAGAUCAAACACACUCAGGAGUGCUUUCUUUAUGCACAGUACAGGUUAUAUAUAGUCAGAGAUAACAUUUAUAAAGGCUAUAACAUGACAGAGUAUAUAACAGACUACAUUGUGGCCUUCUUAAUCAUCUGGUGAUGUUAUGAAUGGAGACCACAGAACCUACCCCAUAAAUUUUGUAUGCAAAUCAUCUCAGCUUGCUACUUGGGAGAUAAUGUGAAGAGACUUUUGAGGUAUGGAAAAUCUUGUAUACAGACAUCCUUAGAUGUGCAUAAAUGAGGAGCAAAUGCAGCUUCUGGGAACUAAAGCUGAUUCUUGCAUCUAGCUUUUAUCUCAGGAGCGUCCUGUUUUCCACCUGGACAUGGUGCCCAGGUCUCUCCUGGAUGGUCAGUGCCUCUGUGUAUGCCUUGGCACAGUGGGCAUCACAGCUCCCAUCUCAGCUUGGGUCUCCUGUGGCAGUGAUACAGAUACAUGAUCUUGGACAAAGCACUUGAUUUUUCCUUGCUUUCUUUUCUCCCUGAUACACUUUCUGCCAGGCUGAUUAGAAGAAACUGCCUAUUUUUCCACUGAGCUUUGGCUGUAGAUUUUGCAAUGCAGGUAGGGACUUAGAAUCAUUUUCCAGGUGUAAUACCUGUAAUACCUGCCAAACAUCAACAACCAAUAAAACAACGAACCAAAACCAAACAGAGAAACCAAAGCUAGUUCAAAGCUGGAAGAGGCUGUGAUCUUUCAAGAAGUAAAGACAUCUUCCAGUUCGUAACAUUGUGUGCUGCUGUGGCUACAUCACUCUUGGCAGAUGAGCAACUACUGCAGCAACCGCAAGGUGGUGGGAACAAGACAGAUACUGCUCAGCUCAGAGACAGGCACCUGAGCUCCGAGUGUGGGAACACAUUUGAGGGAGAAAGAAGACCCAUUUUAAAGUAAAAAUGCAUCUUGAAAUGGUCCAGGGAGAAGGAAAGCAGCGGAGCCAGGACAGGCAGUUUCCUGGAUUUCAGCAUGUUGCUCUGGGUGCUCACUUGAUAUUUCUCUUGAAAUAAAGUUUAGUUAGAUUCAGAUAUGAUGAUGUGUGUUGUUAUUUUUUUGUUUUUCUCUGACCAUUCAUUUUUCCCAAGUCACUUCUCUGAACACCAGUUUGCACACCAUCAGAGCCGAGUCCAAUGAGCUUCCUACCAAGGCCAGCUAAGCCUUCUGAGCUCUGGAUGGAAACCCUGGGUACACAGGACACCUAAACCUGCACAGUGCAUUUUGCUCAUUUUGCUCUCAUUUCUGUUCAGUCUUAUUAAUUCUAAAUCCCUCUUCCUUUGUCUUUUAAAUGCUGUUUGUACCAUUUUAUCAUUGCUCUUCAUUUUUCUCAUCCAUAAAAAACAAUAAAAUAUUAAUGUGGCAUAAAAAAUCUGUCUGUGCUGGUAGUCUCCUGAAACUAUUGAUGAUUCCAUGAAUAAAACAUGAAUCUUUAUUUUGCUUGUAGUAUAUCAGACUUCAUGUGUUUAUUAUAUUUUCUGUGAAGUAAGCUUGUCCAAAAGAGCCUUUGUUUGUUUGCCUGCUUUUAUUUUAGGUACCCUUGAUUUAUUAACCUUUAGAAAAGGUAAUGUCUGAUAUGGCCUUACAUGAAACCAUGAAACAUGUAACUUUCAUUUGGAUAAAUUUUGUAGUCUAUCUCGUCUAGAAAAAGAAAGGAAACAAACAAACAAACAAACAAACAAACAAAAAACCAACAAAAAACAAACAAAAAAAACAGCAGCAAAAACACCUUUUUUUCAUCCUUGUGAUGUUGAGCUGCACCUUCCAUUACUACCUUGGCCUAAGAAAGUAUUUUAAAUAUAAUGAGAGAUGUUCAAUAUAAAAACAACCACCCCCCAAUUCCCC